AGAGCGAACGCUGGCGGCAGGCUUAACACAUGCAAGUCGAGCGGGCGUAGCAAUACGUCAGCGGCAGACGGGUGAGUAACGCGUGGGAACGUACCUUUUGGUUCGGAACAACACAGGGAAACUUGUGCUAAUACCGGAUAAGCCCUUACGGGGAAAGAUUUAUCGCCGAAAGAUCGGCCCGCGUCUGAUUAGCUAGUUGGUGAGGUAAUGGCUCACCAAGGCGACGAUCAGUAGCUGGUCUGAGAGGAUGAUCAGCCACAUUGGGACUGAGACACGGCCCAAACUCCUACGGGAGGCAGCAGUGGGGAAUAUUGGACAAUGGGCGCAAGCCUGAUCCAGCCAUGCCGCGUGAGUGAUGAAGGCCCUAGGGUUGUAAAGCUCUUUUGUGCGGGAAGAUAAUGACGGUACCGCAAGAAUAAGCCCCGGCUAACUUCGUGCCAGCAGCCGC
RNAcentral lists this ribosomal RNA (448 nucleotides) under uncultured bacterium. RNAcentral's name for it is "SSU rRNA". It matches the Rfam family "Bacterial small subunit ribosomal RNA", at positions 26 to 518 of the family's 1533-position model. The record is from RNAcentral.